GCAGUGCCGGCCCUAGGGGGAGGGCAGGAGGUGCGACGGCCGAGGGCCCUCGCGAGAUAGGGGCCUAAACCUAGCGAUCAUGAGUCGCGAUUUCUAGACUUUUGGUGACACGGCGAGACCGCGAGAAGAGACGCAGCGGCAUCAGCGACACAUUCACCAGUUCACCACGCCAUCACGAGCUGCAGUGGAUAAUACCAAAACCUCUGCACCCGAGUUCUAGCCUUCCAAACUCCAAACGAUAGCGGCGACCAGCUGGCAGGGCUCGACGAGGACUACGACAUGUGAUCUUUGUUAUUUCCUUCUACCCUUUUAUUUUUUGUGAUUUGUGAAUCUUAGUUGUUUAUGUCCCAAUUGUCUAGGCACUAGUUUUUUUUAUUCAAUUUUUGUCUAGUACUUUAUACUCAUAUAGUUAUAUUUUUCUUGUAAUUUAGGUUAGGUGUUAGAAUUUGAGAAUGUUACCUAAGAAACAAUUGUCAAGGACCAUGAAAAGAAAAUGAAAAAGAUAAGAAGAGCAGUUUGUCUAUA
Long non-coding RNA from Sorghum bicolor (sorghum), 525 nucleotides. RefSeq lists it as uncharacterized. The transcript has 2 exons. Lineage: Eukaryota; Viridiplantae; Streptophyta; Magnoliopsida; Poales; Poaceae. The record is from RefSeq and is a predicted model, not a curated record.